This 204-nucleotide ribosomal RNA is filed under the name Geotrichum pseudocandidum. RNAcentral's name for it is "Galactomyces pseudocandidus partial large subunit ribosomal RNA". The record is from RNAcentral. Lineage: Eukaryota; Fungi; Ascomycota; Dipodascomycetes; Dipodascales; Dipodascaceae.
AAGGGUAUUGAAUCAGACGUGGUGCUGUUGUUCAACUUUGUUUCGGCAUGGUGUACUCAGCAGUACUAGGCCAAGGUGGGGUGUUUGGGAGUGAAAAAGGAAUAGGAACGUAGCUCUUCGGAGUGUUAUAACCUAUUUUCAUAGCUCCUCAGGCGCCUCAGGACUGCGCUUCGGCAAGGACUUUGGCAUAAUGAUUCUAUACCG